Molecule: microRNA precursor, 58 nt
Filed under: Callorhinchus milii (elephant shark)
Lineage: Eukaryota; Metazoa; Chordata; Chondrichthyes; Chimaeriformes; Callorhinchidae
Description: Cmi-Mir-142-P2-v3_pre stem-loop
Rfam family: mir-142 microRNA precursor family
Source: RNAcentral
CAUAAAGUAGAAAGCACUACUAACCAUCCAAUCAGUGUAGUGUUUCCUACUUUAUGGA